AGAGUUUGAUCCUGGCUCAGGAUGAACGCUAGCGGCAGGCUUAACACAUGCAAGUCGAGGGGCAUCGGGAGGGAAGCUUGCUUUCCUUGCCGGCGACCGGCGCACGGGUGAGUAACACGUAUGCAACCUGCCCUCUUCAGGGGGACAACCUUCCGAAAGGGAGGCUAAUCCCGCGUAUAUCGGUUUCGGGCAUCCGAGAUCGAGGAAAGAUUCAUCGGAAGAGGAUGGGCAUGCGGCGCAUUAGCUAGACGGCGGGGUAACGGCCCACCGUGGCGACGAUGCGUAGGGGUUCUGAGAGGAAGGUCCCCCACACUGGUACUGAGACACGGACCAGACUCCUACGGGAGGCAGCAGUGAGGAAUAUUGGUCAAUGGGAGAGAUCCUGAACCAGCCAAGCCGCGUGAGGGAAGACGGCCCUAUGGGUUGUAAACCUCUUUUGUCGGAGAACAAAACCCGGGACGAGUCCCGGACUGCGUGUAUCCGAAGAAAAAGCAUCGGCUAACUCCGUGCCAGCAGCCGCGGUAAUACGGAGGAUGCGAGCGUUAUCCGGAUUUAUUGGGUUUAAAGGGUGCGUAGGCGGUCCGUUAAGUCAGCGGUAAAAUUGCGGGGCUCAACCCCGUCGAGCCGUUGAAACUGGCAGACUUGAGUUGGCGAGAAGUACGCGGAAUGCGCGGUGUAGCGGUGAAAUGCAUAGAUAUCGCGCAGAACUCCGAUUGCGAAGGCAGUGUACCGGCGCCAGACUGACGCUGAGGCACGAAAGCGUGGGGAUCGAACAGGAUUAGAUACCCUGGUAGUCCACGCAGUAAACGAUAAAUGCUGGUUGUCCGGGUCGAAUGAGACCUGGGCGGCGAAGCGAAAGCGAUAAGCGUUCCACCUGGGGAGUACGCCGGCAACGGUGAAACUCAAAGGAAUUGACGGGGGCCCGCACAAGCGGAGGAACAUGUGGUUUAAUUCGAUGAUACGCGAGGAACCUUACCCGGGCUCAAACGGGAGUGGAAUGGACCAGAGACGGUUCAGCCUACGGGCCGCUUCCGAGGUGCUGCAUGGUUGUCGUCAGCUCGUGCCGUGAGGUGUCGGCUUAAGUGCCAUAACGAGCGCAACCCCCGCCGGCAGUUGCUAACUGGCAAUGCCGAGGACUCUGCCGGGACUGCCGCCGCAAGGCGUGAGGAAGGCGGGGAUGACGUCAAAUCAGCACGGCCCUUACGUCCGGGGCGACACACGUGUUACAAUGGGCGGUACAGCGGGAAGCCAGGCGGCGACGCCGAGCGGAACCCGAAAGCCGUUCUCAGUUCGGAUCGGAGUCUGCAACCCGACUCCGUGAAGCUGGAUUCGCUAGUAAUCGCGCAUCAGCCAUGGCGCGGUGAAUACGUUCCCGGGCCUUGCACAUACCGCCCGUCAAG
Molecule: ribosomal RNA, 1400 nt
Filed under: uncultured bacterium
Lineage: Bacteria
Description: bacterial SSU rRNA
Rfam family: Bacterial small subunit ribosomal RNA
Source: RNAcentral